AGGCCCCCGUCCUCCAGGCCCUCGUCCUCCCGGCCCCCGUCCUCCAGCCCCCAUCCUCCAGGCCCCCGUCCUCCAGACCUCCGUCCUCCCAGCCCCUGUCCUCCAGACCCCUGUCCUCCAGGCCCCCGUCCUCCAGGCCCCUGUCUUCCAGGCUUUAGCCUCUGGGGCUCCUCUGGGUCCAGUUCAAGUGACUCCAGGCUCGCCGCUGACGUCGCCGCUGACACUCACCACUGGGCAGCCAUGGGGACUCAAUCCUUGAAAACUCUGGCAAGGAGCUCCCAGCCCCACUCUAGUUCUGCCACCCUCCUGUGACCACCCUCAGAACUCAAGCUCCACCUCUGGAAGAGGCCUGGAGGGCAAAGACCAAACUCCUGAGUAUG
Long non-coding RNA from Callithrix jacchus (white-tufted-ear marmoset), 380 nucleotides. NCBI's taxonomy places the organism in Eukaryota, Metazoa, Chordata, Mammalia, Primates, Cebidae. The record is from Ensembl.